This 495-nucleotide ribosomal RNA is filed under the name uncultured bacterium. Its description in RNAcentral is "bacterial SSU rRNA". It matches the Rfam family "Bacterial small subunit ribosomal RNA", at positions 24 to 518 of the family's 1533-position model. The record is from RNAcentral.
UCAGGACGAACGCUGGCGGCGUGCCUAACACAUGCAAGUCGAACGGAGUUAUUGUGGAAGUCCUUCGGGGCGGAAGCUUUAGCUUAGUGGCGAACGGGUGAGUAACGCGUGAGCAACCUGCCUUUCAGAGGGGGACAACAGUUGGAAACGACUGCUAAUACCGCAUAACGCAAUCGGACCGCAUGAUCUGAUUGCCAAAGAUUUAUCGCUGAAAGAUGGGCUCGCGUCUGAUUAGAUAGUUGGUGGGGUAACGGCCUACCAAGUCGACGAUCAGUAGCCGGACUGAGAGGUUGAACGGCCACAUUGGGACUGAGAUACGGCCCAGACUCCUACGGGAGGCAGCAGUGGGGAAUAUUGGGCAAAUGGGGGCAACCCUGACCCAGCAACGCCGCGUGAAGGAAGAAGGCUUUCGGGUUGUAAACUUCUUUUACCGAGGACGAAGAACGUGACGGUACUCGGAGAAAAAGCCACGGCUAACUACGUGCCAGCCGCCGC